AUUGAACGCUGGCGGCAUGCCUUACACAUGCAAGUCGAACGGCAGCACGGGAGCAAUCCUGGUGGCGAGUGGCGAACGGGUGAGUAAUACAUCGGAACGUGCCCAAUCGUGGGGGAUAACGCAGCGAAAGCUGUGCUAAUACCGCAUAAGAUCUACGGAUGAAAGCAGGGGAUCGCAAGACCUUGCGCGAAUGGAGCGGCCGAUGGCAGAUUAGGUAGUUGGUGAGGUAAAGGCUCACCAAGCCUUCGAUCUGUAGCUGGUCUGAGAGGACGACCAGCCACACUGGGACUGAGACACGGCCCAGACUCCUACGGGAGGCAGCAGUGGGGAAUUUUGGACAAUGGGCGAAAGCCUGAUCCAGCCAUGCCGCGUGCAGGAUGAAGGGCCCUUUCGGGUUGUAAAACUGCUUUUGUACGG
This 417-nucleotide ribosomal RNA is filed under the name Variovorax paradoxus. RNAcentral describes it as "bacterial SSU rRNA". It matches the Rfam family "Bacterial small subunit ribosomal RNA", at positions 30 to 443 of the family's 1533-position model. Lineage: Bacteria; Pseudomonadati; Pseudomonadota; Betaproteobacteria; Burkholderiales; Comamonadaceae. The record is from RNAcentral.